Molecule: long non-coding RNA, 281 nt
Filed under: Equus asinus (donkey)
Lineage: Eukaryota; Metazoa; Chordata; Mammalia; Perissodactyla; Equidae
Description: lncRNA (ENSEASG00005028597.1)
Source: RNAcentral
UGAGUGUUCACUUUUUCUUUUACUUGCUCUGUGACUGGCUUAUGAACAGUCUCUCUUUAAGGAAGAUUGUGAUCUUACAUUGAUUGACAGGCAGCAGUCACAGCUCCUAUAAUACGUGUCAUGGCUCCAGACCAAGAGAAAAUUAUUUGUUCACUUGGAAAAUGCUGAAACCUGAAUUUUGAAGUCAGACCCUAAAUAGGCUGGAGCAGGGACUCGAUCUCUUUCUUUUGAUCUUGAAGCAUCUACCUCAAGAAGGACCUGUAGUGGAUUGCCUGUACCAC